CUCAGGAUGAACGCUAGCUACAGGCUUAACACAUGCAAGUCGAGGGGCAGCAUGGUCUUAGCUUGCUAAGGCCGAUGGCGACCGGCGCACGGGUGAGUAACACGUAUCCAACCUGCCGUCUACUCUUGGACAGCCUUCUGAAAGGAAGAUUAAUACAAGAUGGCAUCAUGAGUCCGCAUGUUCACAUGAUUAAAGGUAUUCCGGUAGACGAUGGGGAUGCGUUCCAUUAGAUAGUAGGCGGGGUAACGGCCCACCUAGUCUUCGAUGGAUAGGGGUUCUGAGAGGAAGGUCCCCCACAUUGGAACUGAGACAAGGUCCAAACUCCUACGGGAGGCAGCAGUGAGGAAUAUUGGUCAAUGGGCGAGAGCCUGAACCAGCCAAGUAGCGUGAAGGAUGACUGCCCUAUGGGUUGUAAACUUCUUUUAUAAAGGAAUAAAGUCGGGUAUGCAUACCCGUUUGCAUGUACUUUAUGAAUAAGGAUCGGCUAACUCCGUGCCAGCAGCCGCGGUAAUACGGAGGAUCCGAGCGUUAUCCGGAUUUAUUGAGUUUAAAGGGAGCGUAGAUGGAUGUUUAAGUCAGUUGUGAAAGUUUGCGGCUCAACCGUAAAAUUGCAGUUGAUACUGGAUAUCUUGAGUGCAGUUGAGGCAGGCGGAAUUCGUGGUGUAGCGGUGAAAUGCUUAGAUAUCACGAAGAACUCCGAUUGCGAAGGCAGCCUGCUAAGCUGCAACUGACAUUGAGGCUCGAAAGUGUGGGUAUCAAACAGGAUUAGAUACCCUGGUAGUCCACACGGUAAACGAUGAAUACUCGCUGUUUGCGAUAUACAGCAAGCGGCCAAGCGAAAGCGUUAAGUAUUCCACCUGGGGAGUACGCCGGCAACGGUGAAACUCAAAGGAAUUGACGGGGGCCCGCACAAGCGGAGGAACAUGUGGUUUAAUUCGAUGAUACGCGAGGAACCUUACCCGGGCUUAAAUUGCAGAUGAAUUACGGUGAAAGCCGUAAGCCGCAAGGCAUCUGUGAAGGUGCUGCAUGGUUGUCGUCAGCUCGUGCCGUGAGGUGUCGGCUUAAGUGCCAUAACGAGCGCAACCCUUGUUGUCAGUUACUAACAGGUUCCGCUGAGGACUCUGACAAGACUGCCAUCGUAAGAUGUGAGGAAGGUGGGGAUGACGUCAAAUCAGCACGGCCCUUACGUCCGGGGCUACACACGUGUUACAAUGGGGGGUACAGAGGGCCGCUACCACGCGAGUGGAUGCCAAUCCCAAAAACCUCUCUCAGUUCGGACUGGAGUCUGCAACCCGACUCCACGAAGCUGGAUUCGCUAGUAAUCGCGCAUCAGCCACGGCGCGGUGAAUACGUUCCCGGGCCUUGUACACACCGCCCGUCAAGCCAUGGGAGCCGGGGGUACCUGAAGUGCGUAACCGCGAGGAGCGCCCUAGGGUAAAACU
RNAcentral lists this ribosomal RNA (1442 nucleotides) under uncultured organism. RNAcentral describes it as "SSU rRNA". It matches the Rfam family "Bacterial small subunit ribosomal RNA". The record is from RNAcentral.